GUGGGGAAUUUUGGACAAUGGGCGCAAGCCUGAUCCAGCAAUGCCGCGUGCAGGAAGAAGGCCUUCGGGUUGUAAACUGCUUUUGUACGGAACGAAACGGUCCUGGUUAAUACCCGGGGGUCAUGACGGUACCGUAAGAAUAAGCACCGGCUAACUACGUGCCAGCAGCCGCGGUAAUACGUAGGGUGCGAGCGUUAAUCGGAAUUACUGGGCGUAAAGCGUGCGCAGGCGGUGAUGUAAGACAGUUGUGAAAUCCCCGGGCUCAACCUGGGAAGUGCAUCUGUGACUGCAUUGCUGGAGUGCGGCAGAGGGGGAUGGAAUUCCGCGUGUAGCAGUGAAAUGCGUAGAUAUGCGGAGGAACACCGAUGGCGAAGGCAAUCCCCUGGGCCUGCACUGACGCUCAUGCACGAAAGCGUGGGGAGCAAACAGGAUUAGAAACCCUUGUAGUCC
RNAcentral lists this ribosomal RNA (450 nucleotides) under uncultured bacterium. RNAcentral describes it as "partial 16S ribosomal RNA". It matches the Rfam family "Bacterial small subunit ribosomal RNA", at positions 354 to 796 of the family's 1533-position model. The record is from RNAcentral.